CUCCAUGCCUGCUUAAGACGGUGUAUUUUUUCCGACGACAGAUUAUUAUAAUAAGUGUUGAUAAAGUUCACAAGCUGAUGAUAAGUGAGGUGAGAAUAACUUGUAUCCUUUUCAUCUUUUAUAAACGCACGCAAAAUGCUAUCAUUAUCAAUAUCAUGGAAUAUUGAUACAUCAGAAUUAGAAGGCAUGCUCAGCUGCUCAGCUGUAGUUAUAAGAUCAUUCUGCUCAAUUAAAUUAAAAAUUAGUUUCAAUAUUCUAUCCUGAUUCAGUCAUUUGUUUAUUCACUACUAUAUCUUUUUCUUGAUAUUUUAAACAUGCAUA
RNAcentral lists this small RNA (321 nucleotides) under Histoplasma capsulatum. Its description in RNAcentral is "hypothetical RNA". RNAcentral also lists the same sequence under 1 other name. Lineage: Eukaryota; Fungi; Ascomycota; Eurotiomycetes; Onygenales; Ajellomycetaceae. The record is from RNAcentral.